This 120-nucleotide ribosomal RNA is filed under the name uncultured bacterium. Its description in RNAcentral is "partial 16S ribosomal RNA". It matches the Rfam family "Bacterial small subunit ribosomal RNA", at positions 1369 to 1482 of the family's 1533-position model. The record is from RNAcentral.
CGUUCCCGGGCUUUUUGUACACACCGCCCGUCACACCACGAGAGUUUACAACACCCGAAGUCGAUGGGGUAACCCCGCAAGGGGGGCCAGCCGCCGAAGGUGGGGUAGAUGAUUGGGGUG